AUUGAACGCUGGCGGCAGGCCUAACACAUGCAAGUCGAGCGGAUGAAGGGAGCUUGCUCCUGGAUUCAGCGGCGGACGGGUGAGUAAUGCCUAGGAAUCUGCCUGGUAGUGGGGGAAACGUCCGGAAACGGGCGCUAAUACCGCAUACGUCCUGAGGGAGAAAGUGGGGGAUCUUCGGACCUCACGCUAUCAGAUGAGCCUAGGUCGGAUUAGCUAGUUGGUGGGGUAAAGGCCUACCAAGGCGACGAUCCGUAACUGGUCUGGGAGGAUGAUCAGUCACACUGGAACUGAGAAACGGUCCAGACUCCUACGGGAGGCAGCAGUGGGGAAUAUUGAACAAUGGGCGAAAGCCUGAUCCAGCCAUGCCGCGUGUGUGAAGAAGGUCUUCGGAUUGUAAAGCACUUUAAGUUGGGAGGAAGGGCAGUAAGUUAAUACCUUGCUGUUUGACGUUACCAACAGAAUAAGCACCGGCUAACUUCGUG
Molecule: ribosomal RNA, 482 nt
Filed under: uncultured bacterium
Lineage: Bacteria
Description: partial 16S ribosomal RNA
Rfam family: Bacterial small subunit ribosomal RNA
Source: RNAcentral